AUUAUGAAAAUGUUUCCUUGGCAGUAAUAAGAUCAAUUUGUACGGUUAUAAUAAUUGAAAUCUGUCAAUUACUAUCCUUUGAAUUUAUAAGCGUAGACAGGCUCUGAGGGGAAUAUUAAAGAAGGGGGAAUAAUGUUUUCCAACGGGAGCACUUCGUAUAUAAACUGUGGUUACUGUUUUUCUCAUUCAUUCCUGUUUAGCGAGCUGUGACUGAUCCUGGCAUCACACAAAAUGCGGCUAGUAACGAUUGUUGCGAUGGCGAUAACCGUAGCUUUGGCGGUGUUGGUGCGUUGCUGCGAGAGUGCCAACCUCCGCGGCUUCGCCCUCCCUGAGGAAGACGAGGAGUUCAGGCACCGGCCUCUGUACAGAGACUACAGCUUGAUCCGCAGGGCUGCCCGCGCUGAUGACGCAUUUGACGACUACGGUCACCUCCGAUUCGGCCGAUCUGAUGACUGACGCAAGCGCGCCUCUCGCAAAAGACAACCCACGGUCCAGCAUAGAGAACGAAAGCCAGACAAAUCGUGUACUUAAUUAUUAGGUCUUUAUAAGCGGAAUCCGUUUCAUAAUAACAUAUAAUUUUAAUGUAUUUUUGUAGAUGUAGAUAGAGUAUGAAUUUUCCUUUUUUAUAUAUGUUGGGACAUUCAAUAAUUUCAUUUCUAUAAAUUCAAUUUCAUUUCUCUGCAAAACAAUGUAGGUAAGUGAAAUAUUGAGGGCUGGUUAAAUAUUUCACACUGAACUGUUCUUCAAUAGAAAACAUAAGUCUGGGAUUUGUUAUACCUACUUACGGUAUUAUUAUUUACUUUGAAACUAUGUAUAUUAUAUCUUAUUUAAAUAUUGUAGCUAAGUUAUAACUAAGUAGAAAUAAAACACAUGAGAUUA
Molecule: RNA transcript, 879 nt
Organism: Helicoverpa zea (corn earworm)
Lineage: Eukaryota; Metazoa; Arthropoda; Insecta; Lepidoptera; Noctuidae
Gene: Dsk
Exons: 2
Source: RefSeq, a predicted model, not a curated record